AUUGAACGCUGGCGGAAUGCUUUACACAUGCAAGUCGAACGGCAGCACGGACUUCGGUCUGGUGGCGAGUGGCGAACGGGUGAGUAAUAUAUCGGAACGUGCCCAGACGUGGGGGAUAACGUAGUGAAAAUUACGCUAAUACCGCAUACGAUCUAUGGAUGAAAGCGGGGGACCUUUGGGCCUCGCGGGAUUGGAGCGGCCGAUAUCAGAUUAGGUAGUUGGUGGGGUAAAGGCUCACCAAGCCAACGAUCUGUAGCUGGUCUGAGAGGACGACCAGCCACACUGGGACUGAGACACGGCCCAGACUCCUACGGGAGGCAGCAGUGGGGAAUUUUGGACAAUGGACGCAAGUCUGAUCCAGCCAUUCCGCGUGCAGGACGAAGGCCUUCGGGUUGUAAACUGCUUUUGUACAGAACGAAAAGGUUUCUACUAAUACUAGGAGCUCAUGACGGUACUGUAAGAAUGAGCACCGGCUAACUACGUGCCAGCCGCCGCGGUAA
This 500-nucleotide ribosomal RNA is filed under the name uncultured bacterium. RNAcentral describes it as "partial 16S ribosomal RNA". It matches the Rfam family "Bacterial small subunit ribosomal RNA", at positions 30 to 523 of the family's 1533-position model. The record is from RNAcentral.